RNAcentral lists this ribosomal RNA (890 nucleotides) under Clavaria parvispora. Its description in RNAcentral is "partial large subunit ribosomal RNA". It matches the Rfam family "Eukaryotic large subunit ribosomal RNA", at positions 44 to 929 of the family's 3401-position model. The record is from RNAcentral. Lineage: Eukaryota; Fungi; Basidiomycota; Agaricomycetes; Agaricales; Clavariaceae.
CNAUAAGCGGAGGAAAAGAAACUNACAAGGAUUCCCUUNAGUAACUGCGAGUGAAGAGGGAAGAGCUCAAAUUUAAANUCUGGCAGUCCCAUCGGAUGCCCNGAGUUGUAAGUUAGAGAAGUGCUAUCCGUGCCGGCCUGUGCAAAAGUCCCUUGGAAAAGGGCAUCAUAGAGGGUGACAAUCCCGUCUUUGGCACAGACUACCGGGGCUUUUGUGAUGCGCUCUCGAUGAGUCGAGUUGUUUGGGAAUGCAGCUCCAAAUGGGUGGUAAAUUCCAUCUAAAGCUAAAUAUUGGCGAGAAACCGAUAGCGCACAAGUACCGUGAGGGAAAGAUGAAAAGAACUUUGAAAAGAGAGUCAAACAGUACGUGAAAUUGUUGAAAGGGAAACGCUUGAAGUCAGUCGUGUCCUUUGGAAAUCAACCUCAUCUUUGGUGGGAUGCACUUUCCAUUUGGACAGGUCAGCAUCAAUUUUGACCAUCAGAGAAAGACCUUGGGAAAGUGACAUCUCUUAUGAUGUGUUAUAGACCUAGGCUCAGAUGUGUUGGUUGGGAUUGAGGAACUCGGAUGGAUAAUACCCAUCCAAGGAUGCUGGCAUAAAUGGCUUUAAUCGACCCGUCUUGAAACACGGACCAAGGAGUCUAACGUGCAUGCGAGUGUUUGGGUGGAAAACCCAAGCGCGUAAUGAAAGUGAAAGUUGGGAACCCUGUCGUGGGGUGCACCGACGCCCGGACCUGACCUUUUGUGAAGGACCUGCGGUAGAGCAUGUAUGUUGGGACCCGAAAGAUGGUGAACUAUGCCUGAAUAGGGUGAAGCCAGAGGAAACUCUGGUGGAGGCUCGUAGCGAUUCUGACGUGCAAAUCGAUCNUCGAAUUUGGGUAUAGNGGCGAAAG